RNAcentral lists this ribosomal RNA (161 nucleotides) under Alexandrium pseudogonyaulax. RNAcentral describes it as "5.8S rRNA". It matches the Rfam family "5.8S ribosomal RNA". From Rfam's summary of the family: 5.8S ribosomal RNA (5.8S rRNA) is a component of the large subunit of the eukaryotic ribosome. It is transcribed by RNA polymerase I as part of the 45S precursor that also contains 18S and 28S rRNA. Functionally, it is thought that 5.8S rRNA may be involved in ribosome translocation. Lineage: Eukaryota; Dinophyceae; Gonyaulacales; Pyrocystaceae. The record is from RNAcentral.
GGUGUGCUUUGCAAUGAAUGUCUUAGCUCGCUUGAGGAUGAAGAAUGUAGCAAAAAUGCAAUAUUCAUUGUGAAUUGCAGAAUUCCGUGAACCAAAAGGUGUUCGAACGCCAUGGGCACCCUUGGGAUAUGCCUGAGGGUACGCUUGAUUCAAUGCCAAGC